This is a long non-coding RNA of Hibiscus syriacus, 362 nucleotides long. RefSeq lists it as uncharacterized. The record is from RefSeq and is a predicted model, not a curated record. Lineage: Eukaryota; Viridiplantae; Streptophyta; Magnoliopsida; Malvales; Malvaceae. The transcript has 3 exons.
GGAUCAUUCAUCACAACAGGAAGUUGAGCACGUAGAACAGCAGUGAAUCAUAGGCGACCGAUGGCAAACGAUGAUGCCGUGGAUCCUACGCAAUACCUGAGGAACAGAACACACUCUUGGCAUCGCAAAAGGAAUCUGGUUUAAAUCCUACCCUCAUAAGUUCGAGGUUUCGAUGUCGAUUGCCGAGUUUAUCGACAAUUUCGGAAGCUUGCACGUCAGUGAACAUGUCGAGGACACUGAAAUCUCUUGGCAGGGAGAAUUGAACAAGCGGUCAUCGUCUCAAAACUAUACUUCUAUGACCUUCAUGGAGAGCUAAAAUUCAAGUGAUGGCAGAUGCAGGUAGGUACAUACAUACAUAUAUA